Molecule: ribosomal RNA, 423 nt
Filed under: uncultured Diversisporaceae
Lineage: Eukaryota; Fungi; Glomeromycota; Glomeromycetes; Diversisporales
Description: SSU rRNA
Rfam family: Eukaryotic small subunit ribosomal RNA
Source: RNAcentral
GGGAGGUAGUGACAAUAAAUAACAAUACAGGGCCUUUUAGGUCUUGUAAUUGGAAUGAGUACAAUUUAAAUCUCUUAACGAGGAACAAUUGGAGGGCAAGUCUGGUGCCAGCAGCCGCGGUAAUUCCAGCUCCAAUAGCGUAUAUUAAAGUUGUUGCAGUUAAAAAGCUCGUAGUUGAACUUCGGGGUUCACCCAUUGGUCAGGCUUAAUUGUCUGUACUGGUGAGAUGAGUCUCUACCUUCUGAGGAACUUUCAUGCCAUUCGUUUGGUGUGAUGGGAAAUCAGGACUGUUACUUUGAAAAAUUAGAGUGUUUAAAGCAGACAAGCGUCUGAAUACAUUAGCAUGGAAUAAUGAAAUAGGACGGAUUGAUUCUAUUUCGUUGGUUUCUAGGGUCACCGUAAUGAUUAAUAGGGAUAGUUGGG